This 1014-nucleotide long non-coding RNA is filed under the name Mus spicilegus (steppe mouse). RNAcentral describes it as "lncRNA (ENSMSIG00000002805.1)". Lineage: Eukaryota; Metazoa; Chordata; Mammalia; Rodentia; Muridae. The record is from RNAcentral.
CAAGCUCUCACUGCUUUGAUUCUUUGUUUCCGGUUGGUUUGGCUUUUGUCAGAGGUGGUAUGUUUUUUGUUCAUUUGUAUGUUUUUAAAGGCAGAGUCUUACCCAGCUCCUGCUUGGAGCUCACAAGUGAAGCAGAGGCUGAGGUCUCCGGCAUACACCACCACAUCCUGUCCCCUCUUGGUUUGUUUUCAAAUCCACGGUUUAUAUGUAAUGUUCUUGGCCUGUGGCAAGCGGUGAGCCAAGCAGUUGCCAUGACGACCUCUCUUGAUCUAAACCAUCCCCUGAAACAGGUUCUGUGUCUACCACUCUACACAGUGGGGAAGCGUGCUCUGAGCAGCCAUGGGGCCUUCUCUAUGACCUUCUUCAAACCUCGAAAGUUCCUUUGAGGUGAAUGUGGUGGCCACUGUUUUAUGGGUAGAAAAGUCGAGACCUAGAGCCGGGAAAGGUGCAUCCAGGUUCAGGCAGCUGUAGCUAUGUCCGGUUCCGGCUCUGGGAAGUGACUCAGGAGGUUUGCCUGCAAGAGAGAAGUCGUUUGGCCAUGACCCUCUGAGAGCCCAGCAGUUGUGUGAGGACUGUGGUUAGCCAUGAAGCCUCACUGCCUGUCAGCUCCAUGCAGGGCCUCUCAGAUCCUAGGAAGAAGGUUUCUAGUGAGAUUGGAGUCCAGGGCCAGCCUCCUUCAAGCCCCCAACAGAAGUCAACAGGACUUAGGAAUCAGGCUCUGAACUUGAACUUACCAGGAAAGGGCUUCAAGGUGCUCAGAAUGAGAGAAAGAAUGGACAGGACAGGUGGCACCUGUGAUGUCCCCAACAAAGUCGCAUAUUCAUCAACUCCGCAAUGCACCUGCUGUGUUACCAUGAGCAUUUUGCAUACCCUUUCUGGAUACAUCCACAUCACUACAUGGGGUGUGUGGGGAGAAACACCAUUUCGAAGGGUUUUUGUAAGGAGAAUAAAUCAUGUAAAGUGAUCACAGAGCUACUCAAUAAAUGCAACAUAGCAUUUCUCUUCUUUUCUAGA